RNAcentral lists this ribosomal RNA (483 nucleotides) under uncultured bacterium. RNAcentral's name for it is "partial 16S ribosomal RNA". It matches the Rfam family "Bacterial small subunit ribosomal RNA", at positions 28 to 507 of the family's 1533-position model. The record is from RNAcentral.
GACGAACGCUGGCGGCGUGCUUAACACAUGCAAGUCGAACGCUGAAGCUCAGCUUUUGUUGGGUGGAUGAGUGGCGAACGGGUGAGUAACACGUGAGUAACCUGCCCCCUUCUUUGGGAUAACGCCCGGAAACGGGCGCUAAUACUGGAUAUUCACUGGUCUUCGCAUGGGGGUUGGUGGAAAGGGUUUUUCUGGUGGGGGAUGGGCUCGCGGCCUAUCAGCUUGUUGGUGGGGUGAUGGCCUACCAAGGCUUUGCCGGGUAGCCGGCCUGAGAGGGUGACCGGUAACAUAGGGACGGAGAUGCGGCCCAGACUACGACGGGAGGCAGCAGUGGGGAAUAUUGCACAAUGGGCGAAAGCGUGAUGCAGCGACGCUGCGUGAGGGAUGGAGGCCGUCGGGUUGUGAACCUCUUUCGCUCAUGGUCAAGCCGAAACAAUGGUUGUGGUGAGGGUAGUGGGUAAAGAAGCGCCGGCUAACUACGUG